UGCAAGUCGAACGAGGUCCAUCCAACCGUAAGGUUGGUGAAGACCUAGUGGCGAACGGGUGAGUAUCACGUGAGGAACGUGCCCCAGAGACCGGGAUACCAGUGGGAAACCGCUGUUAAUACCGGAUGCCCUCAUCGGGCCGCAUGACCUGAUGAGGAAAUGGAUUCCGCUCUGGGAGCGCCUCGCGGCCUAUCAGCUUGUUGGUGGGGUAAUGGCCUACCAAGGCUUCGACGGGUAGCUGGUCUGAGAGGACGAUCAGCCACACUGGGACUGAGACACGGCCCAGACUCCUACGGGGGGCAGCAGCAGAGAAUCUUGCACAAUGGGCGCAAGCCUGAUGCAGCAACGCCGCGUGGGGGAUGACGGCCUUCGGGUUGUAAACCCCUUUCAGCAGGGACGAAACUGACGGUACCUGCAGAAGAAGCACCGGCCAACUACGUGCCAGCAGCCGCGGUAAGACGUAGGGUGCAAGCGUUGUCCGGAUUUAUUGGGCGUAAAGGGCUCGUAGGCGGUUUGGCAAGUCGGGUGUGAAAGCUUCAGGCUCAACCUGGAGAUGCCACUCGAUACUGCUAUGACUUGAGUUCGGUAGGGGCGCAUGGAAUACCCGGUGUAGCGGUGAAAUGCUUAGAUAUCGGGUGGAACACCAGUAGCGAAGGCGGUGCGCUGGGCCGAAACUGACGCUGAUGAGCGAAAGCGUGGGUAGCAAACAGGAUUAGACACCCUGGUAGUCCACGCCGUAAACGUUGGGCACUAGGUGUGGGACCCUAUCGA
Molecule: ribosomal RNA, 771 nt
Filed under: uncultured Actinomycetes bacterium
Lineage: Bacteria; Bacillati; Actinomycetota; Actinomycetes
Description: bacterial SSU rRNA
Rfam family: Bacterial small subunit ribosomal RNA
Source: RNAcentral